This 255-nucleotide ribosomal RNA is filed under the name uncultured bacterium. RNAcentral's name for it is "partial 16S ribosomal RNA". It matches the Rfam family "Bacterial small subunit ribosomal RNA", at positions 524 to 776 of the family's 1533-position model. The record is from RNAcentral.
UACGGGGGGGAGCAAGCGUUGUUCGGAUUUACUGGGCGUAAAGGGCGCGUAGGCGGUCGUGACAAGUCACUUGUGAAAUCUCCGGGCUUAACUCGGAACGGUCAAGUGAUACUGUCGGACUAGAGUACAGAAGGGGCAACUGGAAUUCUCGGUGUAGCGGUGAAAUGCGUAGAUAUCGAGAGGAACACCUGCGGCGAAGGCGGGUUGCUGGGCUGAUACUGACGCUGAGGAGCGAAAGCGUGGGGAGCAAACAGG